RNAcentral lists this ribosomal RNA (645 nucleotides) under uncultured bacterium. RNAcentral's name for it is "bacterial SSU rRNA". It matches the Rfam family "Bacterial small subunit ribosomal RNA", at positions 137 to 776 of the family's 1533-position model. The record is from RNAcentral.
UGCAUGAAUAACUACUGCAAACGGUAGCUAAUACCGCAUAACGUCGCAAGUCCAAAGAGGGGGACCUUCGGGCCUCUUGCCAUCGGAUGUGCCCAGAUGGGAUUAGCUAGUAGGUGGGGUAACGGCUCACCUAGGCGACGAUCCCUAGCUGGUCUGAGAGGAUGACCAGCCACACUGGAACUGAGACACGGUCCAGACUCCUACGGGAGGCAGCAGUGGGGAAUAUUGCACAAUGGGCGCAAGCCUGAUGCAGCCAUGCCGCGUGUAUGAAGAAGGCCUUCGGGUUGUAAAGUACUUUCAGCGGGGAGGAAGGGAGUAAAGUUAAUACCUUUGCUCAUUGACGUUACCCGCAGAAGAAGCACCGGCUAACUCCGUGCCAGCAGCCGCGGUAAUACGGAGGGUGCAAGCGUUAAUCGGAAUUACUGGGCGUAAAGCGCACGCAGGCGGUUUGUUAAGUCAGAUGUGAAAUCCCCGGGCUCAACCUGGGAACUGCAUCUGAUACUGGCAAGCUUGAGUCUCGUAGAGGGGGGUAGAAUUCCAGGUGUAGCGGUGAAAUGCGUAGAGAUCUGGAGGAAUACCGGUGGCGAAGGCGGCCCCCUGGACGAAGACUGACGCUCAGGUGCGAAAGCGUGGGGAGCAAACAGG